GGCCGUAACUGACGCUGAGGAGCGAAAGGGUGGGGAGCAAACAGGCUUAGAUACCCUGGUAGUCCACCCCCGUAAACGUUGGGAACUAGUUGUGGGGUCCAUUCCACGGAUUCCGUGACGCAGCUAACGCAUUAAGUUCCCCGCCUGGGGAGUACGGCCGCAAGGCUAAAACUCAAAGGAAUUGACGGGGACCCGCACAAGCGGCGGAGCAUGCGGAUUAAUUCGAUGCAACGCGAAGAACCUUACCAAGGCUUGACAUAUACGAGAACGGGCCAGAAAUGGUCAACUCUUUGGACACUCGUAAACAGGUGGUGCAUGGUUGUCGUCAGCUCGUGUCGUGAGAUGUUGGGUUAAGUCCCGCAACGAGCGCAACCCUCGUUCUAUGUUGCCAGCACGUAAUGGUGGGAACUCAUGGGAUACUGCCGGGGUCAACUCGGAGGAAGGUGGGGAUGACGUCAAAUCAUCAUGCCCCUUAUGUCUUGGGCUUCACGCAUGCUACAAUGGCCGGUACAAAGGGCUGCAAUACCGUGAGGUGGAGCGAAUCCCAAAAAGCCGGUCCCAGUUCGGAUUGAGGUCUGCAACUCGACCUCAUGAAGUCGGAGUCGCUAGUAAUCGCAGAUCAGCAACGCUGCGGUGAAUACGUUCCCGGGUCUUGUACACACCGCCCGUCAAGUCAUGAAAGUCGGUAACACCUGAAGCCGGUGGCCUAACCCUUGUGGAGGA
This 723-nucleotide ribosomal RNA is filed under the name Microbacteriaceae bacterium SM39. RNAcentral's name for it is "bacterial SSU rRNA". It matches the Rfam family "Bacterial small subunit ribosomal RNA", at positions 732 to 1451 of the family's 1533-position model. The record is from RNAcentral. Lineage: Bacteria; Bacillati; Actinomycetota; Actinomycetes; Micrococcales; Microbacteriaceae.